GGGGAAGGUCGUAGCUCAGGGGGUAGAACAUCUGCUUAGCAUGCAGAAGAUUUCAGGUUGAACCCCUGGCUUCUCCA
This is a non-coding RNA of Podarcis lilfordi (Lilford's wall lizard), 77 nucleotides long. The record is from the annotation of a GenBank genome assembly. Lineage: Eukaryota; Metazoa; Chordata; Lepidosauria; Squamata; Lacertidae.